Molecule: ribosomal RNA, 254 nt
Filed under: uncultured bacterium
Lineage: Bacteria
Description: partial 16S ribosomal RNA
Rfam family: Bacterial small subunit ribosomal RNA
Source: RNAcentral
UACGUAGGGGGCAAGCGUUGUCCGGAUUUUAUUGGGCGUAAAGAGCGUGUAGGCGGCCAUACAGGUCAGCUGUGAAAACUCGAGGCUCAACCUCGAGACGUCGGUUGAAACCGUAUGGCUAGAGUCCGGAAGAGGAGAGUGGAAUUCCCGGUGUAGCGGUGAAAUGCGCAGAUAUCGGGAAGAACACCCGUGGCGAAGGCGGCUCUCUGGGACGGUACUGACGCUGAGACGCGAAAGCGUGGGGAGCGAGCAGG